CCUUAACACCUGGCGGCGUGCCUAACACAUGCAAGUCGAGCGAGAAAGUGGAGCAAUCCAUGAAGUAAAGCGGCGCACGGGUGAGUAACACGUGACUAACCUACCCUCGAGUGGGGAAUAACUUCGGGAAACCGAGGCUAAUACCGCAUAACACCUACGGGUCAAAGAAGCAAUUCGCUUGGGGAGGGGGUCGCGGCCGAUUAGUUAGUUGGCGGGGUAAUGGCCCACCAAGACGAUGAUCGGUAUCCGGCCUGAGAGGGCGCACGGACACACUGGAACUGAAACACGGUCCAGACUCCUACGGGAGGCAGCAGUGGGGAAUUUUGCGCAAUGGGGGAAACCCUGACGCAGCAACGCCGCGUGGAGGAUGAAGUCCUUCGGGACGUAAACUCCUUUCGAUCGGGACGAUUAUGACGGUACCGGAAGAAGAAGCCCCGGCUAACUUCGUGCCAGCAGCCGCGGUAAUACGAGGGGGGCGAGCGUUGUUCGGAAUUAUUGGGCGUAAAGGGUGCGUAGGCGGUUUGGUAAGUCUUUUGUGAAAUCUCUGGGCUCAACUCA
RNAcentral lists this ribosomal RNA (558 nucleotides) under uncultured bacterium. RNAcentral describes it as "bacterial SSU rRNA". It matches the Rfam family "Bacterial small subunit ribosomal RNA", at positions 28 to 616 of the family's 1533-position model. The record is from RNAcentral.